Molecule: transfer RNA, 66 nt
Filed under: Acidobacteriota bacterium
Lineage: Bacteria; Pseudomonadati; Acidobacteriota
Also listed under: 1 other name
Description: Acidobacteria bacterium tRNA-Ser
Source: RNAcentral
GGGCGGGGGAGCCUUGACUGACUCUUAAUCAGUAGGUUGAAGGUUCGAUUCCUGCCGCGCUCACCA